This is a long non-coding RNA of Anneissia japonica, 724 nucleotides long. RefSeq lists it as uncharacterized. The record is from RefSeq and is a predicted model, not a curated record. The transcript has 3 exons. Lineage: Eukaryota; Metazoa; Echinodermata; Crinoidea; Comatulida; Comatulidae.
AGUUGUACGAUUUAAUAAAUUAUUUAGUGUAUGAAAUGAAAUGCUAUAAAAUUUUAUACAGUCCUACACAAAACAAAUGAUUAAUUACAGAAGGUUUCAUACAAAUACAUUUAAUAAGAAUUAUAACUGGUCUUAAAUUGUUUCUCCUCCCCUCUAUUAAACAUGGUAUAUUCCACAACUGGGUGGUAAAAUUUGAAAGCUAACGGAACGGUCUUCAUCGACAUCGCUCUCUGCUCCCUUUGUUGUUGUGGUGUCCUCCUUUUGUUCAGUAAUAAUUGGACUAAUAAUCGCAAACUGAUAUUUUAUUGAAAUGGUUAAUACCUGUAGCAAUGUCUAUGUAGUAGUUAAAUGGAUUGAAUAAGGAUUUUGGACGUUCUGCUAAAACUCAGCCUAGCCUAGGAUAGCCGCUAGGCCUAUUAUUUUGCCAUUGGAAAAAAAGGAGAAGAGUCCGCACCAUGCCAAGGUCUAGGCCUAGGAUGCACAGUCAGUAUUGUGAUUGACAUUGGCCAUGGUUUACUUAUAGAAAAGGAUCCAUAAUAGGGAAGAAAAGCAACGCACAUUUGGAACAUCGGUAGAGAAAGAGCGUUUGGAUCCCAUCUGAAUUACUGCCAUAACAGAUUUCACUGAUAAGAAGUGUCCUGAGGCAUCAACCACUCUUUUGAGGCAGUCUCUGUCAAACAGAAUAAAGAAAAUGAACAAGCCUAAAAAUUGGGAAUACCAUGUA